GAUCAUAGCUCAGGAUGAACGCUAGCUACAGGCUUAACACAUGCAAGUCGAGGGGCAGCAUGUCGGUUGCUUGCAACCGAUGAUGGCGACCGGCGCACGGGUGAGUAACGCGUAUCCAACCUACCCCUUGUCCAUCGGAUAACCCGUCGAAAGGCGGCCUAACACGAUAUGCGGUUCUCAGCAGGCAUCUAACGAGAACGAAAUGUGAAGGAGAAGGAUGGGGAUGCGU
Molecule: ribosomal RNA, 229 nt
Filed under: uncultured bacterium
Lineage: Bacteria
Description: partial 16S ribosomal RNA
Rfam family: Bacterial small subunit ribosomal RNA
Source: RNAcentral